CAGCAGCCACGGGAAUACGAAGGGGGCUAGCGUUGUUCGGAUUUACUGGGCGUAAAGGGCGCGUAGGCGGACUGAUAAGUCAGGGGUGAAAUCCCAAGGCUCAACCUUGGAACUGCCUUUGAUACUGUUUGUCUUGAGUUCGAGAGAGGUAAGUGGAACUGCGAGUGUAGAGGUGAAAUUCGUAGAUAUUCGCAAGAACACCAGUGGCGAAGGCGGCUUACUGGCUCGAAACUGACGCUGAGGCGCGAAAGCGUGGGGAGCAAACAGGAUUAGAUACCCGAGUAGUCCCUGUCUCUUAUAC
RNAcentral lists this ribosomal RNA (301 nucleotides) under uncultured bacterium. Its description in RNAcentral is "partial 16S ribosomal RNA". It matches the Rfam family "Bacterial small subunit ribosomal RNA", at positions 509 to 807 of the family's 1533-position model. The record is from RNAcentral.